UACGGAGGGUGCGAGCGUUGUCCGGAAUCACUGGGCGUAAAGGGCGCGUAGGCGGCCUGAUAAGUAGGGGGUGAAAUCCUGCGGCUCAACCGCAGGGCUGCCUUCUAAACUGUCAGGCUCGAGCACAGUAGAGGCAGGUGGAAUUCCCGGUGUAGCGGUGGAAUGCGUAGAGAUCGGGAAGAACAUCAGUGGCGAAGGCGGCCUGCUGGGCUGUUGCUGACGCUGAGGCGCGACAGCGUGGGG
Molecule: ribosomal RNA, 243 nt
Filed under: uncultured bacterium
Lineage: Bacteria
Description: partial 16S ribosomal RNA
Rfam family: Bacterial small subunit ribosomal RNA
Source: RNAcentral